UACAGGGGGGGCAAGCGUUGUUCGGAAUUACUGGGCGUAAAGGGCCAGUAGGCGGCCAACUAAGUCCGACGUGAAAUCCCCAGGCUUAACCUGGGAACUGCGUCGGAUACUGGAUGGCUUGAAUUCGGGAGAGGGAUGCAGAAUUCCAGGUGUAGCGGUGAAAUGCGUAGAUAUCAGGAGGAACACCGGUGGCGAAGGCGGGUCUCUGGGCAGUAACUGACGCUGAGGAGCGAAAGCGUGGGGAGCGAACAGG
Molecule: ribosomal RNA, 253 nt
Filed under: uncultured bacterium
Lineage: Bacteria
Description: partial 16S ribosomal RNA
Rfam family: Bacterial small subunit ribosomal RNA
Source: RNAcentral